GGGAGUGUUGCCUAACGGAUAAGGCAACUGUCUUCUAAACAGUUUUAUGCAGGUAAUGCCUUCGGCAACGCUCCGCGAACGACUCCUGCCACUCUUG
RNAcentral lists this transfer RNA (97 nucleotides) under Trichocoleus sp. FACHB-46. RNAcentral describes it as "tRNA-Arg". It matches the Rfam family "tRNA". Rfam says of the family: Transfer RNA (tRNA) molecules are approximately 80 nucleotides in length. Their secondary structure includes four short double-helical elements and three loops (D, anti-codon, and T loops). Further hydrogen bonds mediate the characteristic L-shaped molecular structure. tRNAs have two regions of fundamental functional importance: the anti-codon, which is responsible for specific mRNA codon recognition, and the 3' end, to which the tRNAs corresponding amino acid is attached (by aminoacyl-tRNA synthetases). tRNAs cope with the degeneracy of the genetic code in two manners: having more than one tRNA (with a specific anti-codon) for a particular amino acid; and 'wobble' base-pairing, i.e. permitting non-standard base-pairing at the 3rd anti-codon position. RNAcentral also lists the same sequence under 1 other name. Lineage: Bacteria; Bacillati; Cyanobacteriota; Cyanophyceae; Leptolyngbyales; Trichocoleusaceae. The record is from RNAcentral.